UACAGAGGUCUCGAGCGUUAAUCGGAAUCAUUGGGCUUAAAGAGUUCGUAGGCGGGUAUGCAGGCAUUGUGUGAAAUCCCUCGGCUCAACCGGGGAACCGCACAGUGAACCGCAUGUCUUGAGGUAAGCAGAGGUGGUCGGAACGAUAGGUGGAGUGGUGAAAUGCGUUGAUAUCUAUCGGAACGCCGAAGGUGAAGACAGGCCACUGGGCUUAUUCUGACGCUGAGGAACGAAAGCGUGGGUAGCGAACGGG
RNAcentral lists this ribosomal RNA (253 nucleotides) under uncultured bacterium. RNAcentral's name for it is "partial 16S ribosomal RNA". It matches the Rfam family "Bacterial small subunit ribosomal RNA", at positions 524 to 776 of the family's 1533-position model. The record is from RNAcentral.